This 258-nucleotide ribosomal RNA is filed under the name uncultured soil bacterium. Its description in RNAcentral is "partial 16S ribosomal RNA". It matches the Rfam family "Bacterial small subunit ribosomal RNA", at positions 26 to 285 of the family's 1533-position model. The record is from RNAcentral.
AGGACGAACGCUGGCGGCGUGCCUAACACAUGCAAGUCGAACGGGACCAGGGGCAACUCUGGUUCAGUGGCGGACGGGUGCGUAACACGUGAGGAACAUGACCUUCGGCGGGGGAUAGCCGGCCCAACGGCCGGGUAAUACCGCGUACGACCACUUUGGGACAUCCCUGGGUGGUGAAAGCAGCAAUGCGCCGAUGGAGUGCCUCGCGGCCUAUCAGCUAGUUGGUGAGGUAACGGCUCACCAAGGCGACGACGGGUA